UUGUUGGGUAGGGGAGCGUUCUGUAAGCCGUUGAAGGUGGUCUGUGAGGACUGCUGGAGGUAUCAGAAGUGCGAAUGCUGACAUAAGUAACGAUAAAGCGGGUGAAAAGCCCGCUCGCCGGAAGACCAAGGGUUCCUGUCCAACGUUAAUCGGGGCAGGGUGAGUCGACCCCUAAGGCGAGGCCGAAAGGCGUAGUCGAUGGGAAACAGGUUAAUAUUCCUGUACUUGGUGUUACUGCGAAGGGGGGACGGAGAAGGCUAUGUCAUCCGGGCGACGGUUGUCCCGGUUUAAGCGUGCAGGUGUGUGCUCCAGGCAAAUCCGGAGCGCUUUAACACUGAGGCGUGAUGACGAGGCACUACGGUGCUGAAGUGACAGAUGCCCUGCUUCCAGGAAAAGCCUCUAAGCUCCAGGUAACACGAAAUCGUACCCCAAACCGACACAGGUGGUCAGGUAGAGAAUACCAAGGCGCUUGAGAGAACUCGGGUGAAGGAACUAGGCAAAAUGGUGCCGUAACUUCGGGAGAAGGCACGCUGGUGCGUAGGUGAAGUCCCUUGCGGAUGGAGCUGAGACCAGUCGAAGAUACCAGCUGGCUGCAACUGUUUAUUAAAAACACAGCACUGUGCAAACACGAAAGUGGACGUAUACGGUGUGACGCCUGCCCGGUGCCGGAAGGUUAAUUGAUGGGGUCAGCCGUAAGGCGAAGCUCCUGAUCGAAGCCCCGGUAAACGGCGGCCGUAACUAUAACGGUCCUAAGGUAGCGAAAUUCCUUGUCGGGUAAGUUCCGACCUGCACGAAUGGCGUAAUGAUGGCCAGGCUGUCUCCACCCGAGACUCAGUGAAAUUGAACUCGCUGUGAAGAUGCAGUGUACCCGCGGCAAGACGGAAAGACCCCGUGAACCUUUACUAUAGCUUGACACUGAACAUUGAGCCUUGAUGUGUAGGAUAGGUGGGAGGCUUUGAAGCGUGGACGCCAGUCUGCGUGGAGCCGACCUUGAAAUACCACCCUUUAAUGUUUGAUGUUCUAACGUGGACCCGUGAUCCGGGUUGCGGACAGUGUCUGGUGGGUAGUUUGACUGGGGCGGUCUCCUCCUAAAGAGUAACGGAGGAGCACGAAGGUUGGCUAAUCCUGGUCGGACAUCAGGAGGUUAGUGCAAUGGCAUAAGCCAGCUUGACUGCGAGCGUGACGGCGCGAGCAGGUGCGAAAGCAGGUCAUAGUGAUCCGGUGGUUCUGAAUGGAAGGGCCAUCGCUCAACGGAUAAAAGGUACUCCGGGGAUAACAGGCUGAUACCGCCCAAGAGUUCAUAUCGACGGCGGUGUUUGGCACCUCGAUGUCGGCUCAUCACAUCCUGGGGCUGAAGUAGGUCCCAAGGGUAUGGCUGUUCGCCAUUUAAAGUGGUACGCGAGCUGGGUUUAGAACGUCGUGAGACAGUUCGGUCCCUAUCUGCCGUGGGCGCUGGAGAAUUGAGGGGGGCUGCUCCUAGUACGAGAGGACCGGAGUGGACGCAUCACUGGUGUUCGGGUUGUCAUGCCAAUGGCACUGCCCGGUAGCUAAAUGCGGAAGAGAUAAGUGCUGAAAGCAUCUAAGCACGAAACUUGCCCCGAGAUGAGUUCUCCCUGACUCCUUGAGAGUCCUGAAGGAACGUUGAAGACGACGACGUUGAUAGGCCGGGUGUGUAAGCGCAGCGAUGCGUUGAGCUAACCGGUACUAAUGAACCGUGAGGCUUAACC
RNAcentral lists this ribosomal RNA (1727 nucleotides) under Trabulsiella odontotermitis. RNAcentral's name for it is "bacterial LSU rRNA". It matches the Rfam family "Bacterial large subunit ribosomal RNA", at positions 1221 to 2925 of the family's 2925-position model. The record is from RNAcentral. Lineage: Bacteria; Pseudomonadati; Pseudomonadota; Gammaproteobacteria; Enterobacterales; Enterobacteriaceae.